UGGGGAAUAUUGCACAAUGGAGGGAACUCUGAUGCAGCAACGCCGCGUGCGGGAUGACGGCCUUCGGGUUGUAAACCGCUUUUAGCCAUGACGAAGCUUUCGUGACGGUAGUGGUAGAAGAAGCACCGGCUAACUACGUGCCAGCAGCCGCGGCGAUACGUAGGGUGCGAGCGUUGUCCGGAAUUAUUGGGCGUAAAGAGCUUGUAGGCGGUUUGUCGCGUCGAUAGUGUAAACACGCAGCUUAACUGUGUGCCUGCUGUCGAUACGGGCUGACUAGAGGAGGGUAGAGGAGGAUGGAAUUCCCGGUGGAGCGGUGGAAUGCGCAGAUAUCGGGAGGAACACCAGUGGCGAAGGCGGUUCUCUGGACCUUUCCUGACGCUGAGAAGCGAAAGCGUGGGUAGCAAACAGG
This 409-nucleotide ribosomal RNA is filed under the name Fusobacteriota bacterium. Its description in RNAcentral is "Fusobacteria bacterium partial 16S ribosomal RNA". It matches the Rfam family "Bacterial small subunit ribosomal RNA", at positions 355 to 776 of the family's 1533-position model. Lineage: Bacteria; Fusobacteriati; Fusobacteriota. The record is from RNAcentral.